GCAAUACGAAGUAUCCUAGUGGCGAACGGGUGAGUAACGCGUUGGUGACCUACCCCAAAGUGUGGGAUAACAGUUCGAAAGGACUGCUAAUACCGCAUGUGGUUAUCGGAUUUAGAAACUGAUAACUAAAGGAGCAAUUCGCUUUGGGAGGGACCUGCGUCCCAUCAGCUAGUUGGUGAGGUAAUGGCUCGCCAAGGCUACGACGGGUAGGGGACCUGAGAGGGUGACCCCCCACAAUGGAACUGAAACACGGUCCAUACACCUACGGGUGGCAGCAGUAGGGAAUAUUGCACAAUGGGCGAAAGCCUGAUGCAGCAACGCCGCGUGUGCGAUGAAGGCCUUCGGGUCGUAAAGCACUUUUCUGAGGGAUGAGCAAGGACAGUACCUCAGGAAUAAGUCUCGGCUAACUACGUGCCAGCAGCCGCGGUAAAACGUAGGAGGCGAGCGUUAUCCGGAUUCACUGGGCGUAAAGCGCGUGCAGGUGGCUUGGUAAGUUAGGCGUGAAAUCUCCCGGCUCAACUGGGAGAGGUCGUCUAAUACUACCGGGCUUGAGAGCAGAAGAGGAAGAUGGAAUUCCCGGUGUAGUGGUGAAAUGCGUAGAUAUCGGGAGGAACACCAGUGGCGAAGGCGAUCUUCUGGUCUGUUUCUGACACUCAGACGCGACAGCUAGGGUAGUAAACGGGAUUAGAGACCCCAGUAAUCCUAGCCGUAAACGAUGUAAACUUGGCGUUGGUGGGUUAAACUCCAUCAGUGCCGC
RNAcentral lists this ribosomal RNA (757 nucleotides) under uncultured Chloroflexus sp. RNAcentral's name for it is "bacterial SSU rRNA". It matches the Rfam family "Bacterial small subunit ribosomal RNA", at positions 78 to 849 of the family's 1533-position model. Lineage: Bacteria; Bacillati; Chloroflexota; Chloroflexia; Chloroflexales; Chloroflexaceae. The record is from RNAcentral.